UACAUUGUCAAACCGUCGCCAUUUCUUCGAAGGACGGACCGGUUUUACGUUUGACUAAAAGUCAUUUGAAUAAAGAUAAUUUUUGAUUGCAAAGUGUUAAAAAAAUAUUAAGUGCGCAAACGUGUAUCCAGGAAUUGAUGGGGUCUUUCAAUUUAACGGUGACAGGCGUCGAUAUAUGCAAGGGCCCGAAACAUAAGGAUUGUUCUUCUAUGACGGUGCAACUUACAGAUCGUAAUUUACUGAAGUAUGAUUUAAAUGUAACUCAAACCCUCUUGAUAACUAAAGGAAAAAUAAUGGCAAUACAAGCAGGAAGAGAACACUUAAGACUACAUAUGAAGAAACCAUGUGAACAUCUAUUUUUGAGACCGAUAUUUCAGACUUUCUUUAAUGUGACAAAAGACUGUGGUGUAUUAAAAGGUCGUUACCAAUACAAUGUGGAUAUACAAAAAAUCACUCAGUCGUAUUAUGGUGGAAGUUUCUUACUGGGUAACUUCAUAUUCAAAUCUGUGUUUUAUAGUGACGAUUGCAAUUUUUAUUGUGCUGGGGUUAAAGUUACUUUGUUUUGACAUAAAUUAAGUUAAAUAAAU
Molecule: long non-coding RNA, 587 nt
Organism: Helicoverpa armigera (cotton bollworm)
Lineage: Eukaryota; Metazoa; Arthropoda; Insecta; Lepidoptera; Noctuidae
Exons: 4
Source: RefSeq, a predicted model, not a curated record